AUUGAACGCUGGCGGAAUGCUUUACACAUGCAAGUCGAGCGGCAGCGCGGCCUUCGGGCUGGCGGCGAGCGGCGAACGGGUGAGUAAUGCAUCGGAACAUGCCCAGUCGUGGGGGAUAACACUUCGAAAGAAGUGCUAAUACCGCAUACGUCCUGAGGGGGAAAGCGGGGGAUCGCAAGACCUCGCGCGAUUGGAGUGGCCGAUGUCAGAUUAGCUAGUUGGUGGGGUAAAGGCCUACCAAGGCGACGAUCUGUAGCUGGUCUGAGAGGAUGAUCAGCCACACUGGGACGGAGACACGGCCCAGACUCCUACGGGAGGCAGCAGUGGGGAAUUUUGGACAAUGGGGGCAACCCUGAUCCAGCCAUUCCGCGUGAGUGAAGAAGGCCUUCGGGUUGUAAAGCUCUUUCGGCAGGAACGAAACGGUGGGCUCUAACAUAGUCCGCUAAUGACGGUACCUGAAGAAGAAGCACCGGCUAACUACGU
This 483-nucleotide ribosomal RNA is filed under the name uncultured bacterium. RNAcentral describes it as "partial 16S ribosomal RNA". It matches the Rfam family "Bacterial small subunit ribosomal RNA", at positions 29 to 506 of the family's 1533-position model. The record is from RNAcentral.